UAAGGAAUAUUGGUCAAUGGAGGCAACUCUGAACCAGCCAUGCCGCGUGAAGGAUUAAGGCCCUCUGGGUUGUAAACUUCUUUUAUAUGGGAAGAAAUGUUCUGAUUCUUCAGAGCUUGACGGUACCAUAGGAAUAAGCACCGGCUAACUCCGUGCCAGCAGCCGCGGUAAUACGGAGGGUGCAAGCGUUAUCCGGAUUCACUGGGUUUAAAGGGUGCGUAGGUGGGCAGAUAAGCCAGUGGUGAAAUCUUCCGGCUUAACCGGAAAAUUGCCGUUGAUACUAUUUGUCUUUGAUAUUGUGGAGGUAAGCGGGAUAUGUAAUGUAGCGGUGAAAUGCUUAGAUAUGACAUAGGACACCAAUUGCGAAGGCAGCUGACUAUAUAAUUAUUGACACUGAGG
Molecule: ribosomal RNA, 399 nt
Filed under: uncultured bacterium
Lineage: Bacteria
Description: bacterial SSU rRNA
Rfam family: Bacterial small subunit ribosomal RNA
Source: RNAcentral